Molecule: ribosomal RNA, 440 nt
Filed under: uncultured bacterium
Lineage: Bacteria
Description: partial 16S ribosomal RNA
Rfam family: Bacterial small subunit ribosomal RNA
Source: RNAcentral
CCUACGGGAGGCAGCAGUGGGGGAUAUUGCACAAUGGGGGGAACCCUGAUGCAGCGACGCCGCGUGGGUGAAGGAGCGUUUCGGCGCGUAAAGCCCUAUCGGCAGGGACGCAGAUGACGGUACCUGACCAAGAAGCCCCGGCUAACUACGUGCCAGCAGCCGCGGUACUACGUAGGGGGCAAGCGUUAUCCGGAUUUACUGGGUGUAAAGGGGGCGCAGACGGCAAUGCAAGCCAGGAGUGAAAGCCCGGGGCCCAACCCCGGGACUGCGUUUGGAACUGCAUGGCUGGAGUACAGGAGGGGCAGGCGGAAUUCCUAGUGUAGCGGGGAAAUGCGUAGAUAGUAGGAGGAACACCGGUGGCGAAGGCGGCCUGCUGGACUGUGACUGACGUUGAGGCCCGAAGGCGUGGGGAGCAAACAGGAUUAGAUACCCCAGUAGUC